RNAcentral lists this transfer RNA (72 nucleotides) under Candidatus Nitrosarchaeum limnium SFB1. RNAcentral's name for it is "tRNA-His". The record is from RNAcentral. Lineage: Archaea; Thermoproteati; Nitrososphaerota; Nitrososphaeria; Nitrosopumilales; Nitrosopumilaceae.
UACACUUUACACCAAAAACUGCUAACAACUGUUCUUGUAGACUAUUUGUUUUCUUAAACGGAGUCUGGUUAA